Molecule: long non-coding RNA, 3316 nt
Filed under: Nicotiana benthamiana
Lineage: Eukaryota; Viridiplantae; Streptophyta; Magnoliopsida; Solanales; Solanaceae
Description: long non-coding RNA (NBEN_LNC026895)
Source: RNAcentral
AACUGAUCCCCCACCUCCUAUAAAACUGUUUGAAUCAGAGACCACCCCUAGAACCCCUCUCAUUUCGUAUCUAUACGCUCUCACAAGAAACUUUAGUCGCCCUAGGAUUCCCUCGCCAGCUCCGCCUUUCUUUGCCGCCUGGAAAUUGUCCUACGGCGGUUGAACAUCACCAAACCACCCCAAAAUUCACCCUCUAUAAUCCUCAGCCUCCCCCUUUACACUAUCCCACUAUCAAUUUCCUCUAAAUCACCACCCAAAUCCGUCAAUUUCAGAUCUGAAAAUUUAAACCCAAAAAUCCUAAGUCGCCCAAACAACCCCAAACUCACACCAUAGGAUCUUCAACCUCCCCUCAACACUAUCCUACCCUUGAUUUCCAAAAAAUUCCCGCCAAAUUCUUCGAAUCCUAAAUCUACGAAGGACCAGAAACCCUUGUUCUAUUUUUCCUUUCUUUUUCGAGUUUCUUCGGAUUGCUUCCAGACUCGACUUAGUUGAAAACCCAUGCUAAUCAAUUUCCCAAUAAGAACGGUUGGUUAGCAUAUUGUUUUAGCUAUAUCGAAGGAUUUUCGACUUGGCAGACCCCUCUUGGUAUUUUUUUACCUUUUCCUUGUUUCUUUAUUGUAUUUCCCUAAUUUCCGGAUGUGUAUAAUCAAAAGUUAAUUUAGCUCGUUUCUAUAUAUGUUAUUUUGUUUACUGUUUGGAUAGUAUUAAAAUGAUUUGAAGCAUGUUAAAUGUUAGAAAAAUUAGUUCAGUUGUUAGUUUGCUUGAUUUAAUCAAUUGUAAAUUAAUUAAGUUAAUUAUUAGGUUUUCAUUAUCUCUUUGUUGUCCUUGUUUCUGCCAUGUUUUUGUUUAUACCGAGUUCCUGUUUAGGGUUAAUUAGAUGAGUAAUUUUAUUUACUGAUUAGGUUAGUAUUUAGGUUUAAAUUGCACAAUAUCGAUUUUGUUUGUCAUUUUUUGAUUUGGAUUCUGAUUCCUUUUCAGCUUUGCCUCUGUUUUCCAUGAGUUGUGAAUUAUUACAAACUUGUAGGGUCCUAAUUGAACCUAAUAGAAACUUAAGAGGACAUUAGGAACUUUAGAAAAUAAAUAUCUAGAAGAAGGAAGGUUCUAGAAGGGACAACUCUCUAGAAUUUGUUAAAAAGAUGCUGAAAACUGGACAAUUAUCUAUUAUUCUAUGUCAAAAUAUGUUGUACUAUCUAAGAAAUUUAGGGUAGAAUAUUCUUUUGAUGCUAUUUUGAAUAUACUCUAUAAAGAAAAUCUAUUCACCCAUUCUCAUAGACUCGUACAUCAACAUCUGCACCUGAAAAAGCUCUGGAAACAAAAGAGAAAAAUUCCCUGAAUAUUAUGGCUAAAACAUCAGUCUUCUAGUUAGAGUUCUGGGAUGAUUUUCUCAGAAUACUUUCAUUUUUUUUGAGAAAUCUAAGGGCUGGUUCUUUAUAUUCCUGGGUUGAUACCCUACUGUUGCUGUUUGGGUUUUGUUUGUUACUCCAUCUUUAAAUUUUAGUCAGUUGUUCACUUGUUUUGUGGCUACUUUUUGCUGUUUAAGGGAUCUAUUUUUCAUAUUCUGGUCCAUUGUGCUGCAAUCAGGUAUUUACCUUAAAUCUAAGAUUUAGUUUUGGCAUGAAUAAGUUGAUUGCUUUACUUGUUCUAUCAAGUCUUGAUCCUCUCUCAUCAUGUGUUUAUUUCUUUACAUUUAGCAUGUUAAUUAGUAAACCUUGGUUCAGUUAAACUCACGAGUGUUUCUUCUGCCAUGCGAUGUUUUGACAUGAAAAGAGCAAGAGUCCAUGGCUCUACUAUAUGAUUAUUUGAACUGGUGUGUCUAUUGUAUAACUAUGAGUCUAUUUCUGAGCUAUACUUAUUCUGAACUUUGAUUGCUGAGUUAUCUUUCUUCAUUAUUUCUUCCUGCUUUGCUGUUUAGUUAAUAAUACACUAUUAAAUGAAUUUCCCAUAAAUAAUGAAACCUGCAUUUUUAUUUUUUCUGUUUAUAUGUGAGUCUCCCCAAGAGUAAGGUGGGAAGUUCUUGUAGGGAAGGAUGCCAGGGGUCUAUUUGGAAACAGCCUCUCUACCCAAAGGUAGGGGUAAGAUCUACGUACAUACUACCCUCCCCAGACCCUACGAAGUGGGAUUAUACUGGGUUGUUGUUGUUAUUGUUGUUGUUGUAUGUGAGUGGCAAUAAGGCAAGGAAACCUCAAAGCUGAAAUUGAAUGUUGGCUUAUAAGAAACAACUCUAUAGUUGAUUCUUGCAAGCUGAAGCUUGUUUAAAAGGCUUUGCAGCAGUUGAAGGGCUCGAAGAUAUGAAGAAUGUUACCUUUCAUCUCAAAAAAAUUCUUUAUUUUCCUUUAGAUACAUAGUUGUAUUAACGAGCAUGUUGUAAAUUUACGGAGUGUCAGCAGUAAAUGGACUGUUAGAAUAUUUUAAUUUCGAGUUUGAUCAUGUUUGAUUAAUAGUUUAUGUUCAUAAUAGCAUAAUUUCUUUGUUAUAGCACAUCCUAUUAUCACAAAAGUGCCUAAAUGUAGGUUAUACGAGUUGGUCCAGACUUGCAACAAGGCCCAAUCUGGGAAUCACCUGAGCAAGUCUGGGUCAGGAAGAUGGAACUAGGUACUGGACCCUAAUAAUUUGAUCCUAGAUAUGGGCUUACUUCUUUGAACUCUAAUCUAAAAACUCACUUUUGUAUUGGAAAUUACAUGUAGCAUUAUUAACUUUAAGAUUUGAAUCAUUGUUUUGGAUUUUUACCUCUAAAUAAACUAAAGUCUAGCUUUUAGACAAAUGUGUAUUUCGGUUGUUUUAUUGGUACUAAAUACAAUUUUCGUGAUAGGCCCGAUCGUUUAAAUGUAGCGCGACUAGGCCAGCCUUGAUCGAAUAGCCAUUUGGGAUUUUUCAUCUUAUAUUUUGGGCUGGAAAGCCAAGGCCCACGUAAGGCCAGUUUUAUUAUGAGUUAAAAGGUUAUAGUCAUUUAUUUCCUAUUUAUUAUGGUUCUAUCAAUUAGAAAUCAAGUUAGCCUAUCAAAAUGAAUUUGAAUAAGGGAAAUUUAGUGGGCUCAGCUAGUGCUGCUGGGCGAACUUCACAAAUGUCGGCUUUAACUAAUGAAUUCCUAGUAAUUAAGUACAAUCUUUUGAAAUAAAUUGAGAUGCGCCAUCCACAAAUGAAUUUCAUAAUCUAUUGUCCUCACAUUAAUACCGAAACUAGUGUAGAAAAUACUUUGAACAUUCAUAACUAGUGUAGACAAUACUUUGAAUAUUCAUAGUUUGCUUUGGAUACGUUAUCAAUAAAUCAUCGUGAAUAUAUGUAUGAAUCCCUUGGCAUAGUCAUGAUACAUAAUCUC